Mus musculus (house mouse) is the source of this 474-nucleotide long non-coding RNA. RefSeq annotates it as predicted gene, 32080. The transcript has 2 exons. Lineage: Eukaryota; Metazoa; Chordata; Mammalia; Rodentia; Muridae. The record is from RefSeq and is a predicted model, not a curated record.
AGGAAGCAGAGGCAGAAGGAUUGCUGCAAGUUUCCAUUAUGAGGCCAGCCAGAGAUCCCAUGUCCCGGAAGAGCACCUGGCAUAUAACAGAACACCAGAGAGACUUGAGUCAGUGGACUUAUUUGGGAAAUCCAAAUUUCAGGCCUCUUUGUCUCCUGGGUGUGAUGGCCACACUUCUCAGAAACAGAAACAGAAUGCUGGGGCUGGAGGGGACCUUGGGACCGUUGCCUUCUGCCGCCCAGAGCCCACGAGCCUCUCCACUCAUGGAAGGAUGCUGCCUUGGUGAGGGGCAUGGGAACCCGAGGUCCUGUGGUGUCUUCUCCAGCAGCACAGAGGCGUGAGUCGUACGUGAAACAUGCCCGCCUCCCCCUUUUAGAACAUAUCUGUGUGCGCAUGCGCAUGCACGGCAGUGCUCUUGAGCAGCAUUUUCCACGCUGCUUUGUUGUUUGUUUGUCUUAAGAUUUUCAAGAUUUA